UACGAAGGGUGCAAACGUUGCUCGGAAUUAUUGGGCGUAAAGCGCACGUAGGCGGCUAUCUAAGUCGGAUGUGAAAUCCCUCGGCUUAACCAAGGAAGUGCACCCGAAGCUGGAUAGCUUGAGUACAGAAGAGGAUCGCGGAAUUCCCGGUGUAGAGGUGAAAUUCGUAGAUAUCGGGAGGAACACCAGUGGCGAAGGCGGCGAUCUGGAACGCAACUGACGCUGAGACGCGAAAGCGUGGGGAGCAAACAGG
Molecule: ribosomal RNA, 253 nt
Filed under: uncultured bacterium
Lineage: Bacteria
Description: partial 16S ribosomal RNA
Rfam family: Bacterial small subunit ribosomal RNA
Source: RNAcentral